This 105-nucleotide ribosomal RNA is filed under the name uncultured eukaryote. Its description in RNAcentral is "partial small subunit ribosomal RNA". The record is from RNAcentral.
GUGAUGGAGUGGAUCGAGCCGGGCGACAGUUCUCAUCGCAUCGACAUCGCUCCGCUGAUGGGAAACACCUCGUUAUCAAGAGCCAAGGUCAUCCUGUUUGAGGUC